CCCAUCGAUGAUGAUGAGCUGAUCUCCUACAUCACCUCCGGCCUCGACAUGGAGUACCAACCUCUCGUCUCCGCCAACGACGCCCGCACCGAGCCCAUCAGCAUCGACGAUCUCUACUCCCAGAUGAGUAACUUCGAUC
This 139-nucleotide small nucleolar RNA is filed under the name Triticum aestivum (bread wheat). RNAcentral describes it as "Small nucleolar RNA Z247". It matches the Rfam family "Small nucleolar RNA Z247". Rfam says of the family: Z247 is a member of the C/D class of snoRNA which contain the C (UGAUGA) and D (CUGA) box motifs. Most of the members of the box C/D family function in directing site-specific 2'-O-methylation of substrate RNAs. The record is from Rfam by way of RNAcentral. Lineage: Eukaryota; Viridiplantae; Streptophyta; Magnoliopsida; Poales; Poaceae.